UUGAUCGUCGAAACUUCCAGGCUCAAGAGCAACUCGUGCACCGGAGCUGAGGCGUUCUUUGAUGUCGGCUCCACUGCUCCAUACACUCUGUCAGCAAACAAUGAGUUCUUCGCAAGAGGUUGUUCUGUAGAGGGUUCUUACACAGCAGAUGCGGAGAGUACACAGCACUGUGAAACGGGCUGCCAACCCGGUCGCGAGCCGAAUAUCCGGAAUCCUUUCUGUGAAGAACUCGAGUGCUGCAUCCUGACUAUUCCGUCUGGAAAACGCAGCGUUAUCAUCAAGAGCAGUGCUAACAACGGUACUAGCGACUGCGGCUACUCUAGCGUGAUCUUUCCACCGAGCUACCAAGUAGUAACUUACGGGAUUGAGUUGCUUUGGGCCAUGCCAGGUAACUGCUCCACUUCUGCGCAUCUGUGCUCUCUGAAUGCUACGUGCUUGGAUGCACCCCAUCAACCUGGGUUUUUCAACUGCAUUUGUAACACAGGAUCAGGAAAUGGCUUCUCGAAUGGAACGGGCUGCUCAGGUAAGCAAAAAAAUCUAGAAUACCUUUCUUAUCCCUCACCAGCACAAGAUUCUUAAGUUGUUUUGUAUAGCUGUAGUGGAUCACUGUGCGAGCUCUCCCUGCUCGGAGGGAGCAAUCUGCGUCAACGACCUAAACUCGUUUACAUGCAAGUGUAGACAAGGAUACAAAGGAAACGCUACCAGUGGCUGCAGGAAAACCGACGUCUUUCAGCACAUCACGAGUGGACCUGUUCUUCUGGUCGUAGCUGCUGCGAUACUAGCCGGCUCUAUCUGCGUCUGCAUCGUAAGAACGAAAAAGUUAGGCCGCAAGAAGGGCUUGUUUCCAAAGCUCGGAAGCCUCGCUCACCUCCAGCUCGAGUUCAAGCAGAACGCCACCUUCUUCUCCUUCGACGAGCUCUCGAGAGCAACGCAGAACUUCAAGGCCGAGCUCAUGCUGGGAACCGGCAGCUUUGGCACAGUCUUCCAAGGAGUCCUGGACGACGACACUCCAGUGGCGAUCAAGAAAGCC
This 1030-nucleotide long non-coding RNA is filed under the name Selaginella moellendorffii. RNAcentral describes it as "long non-coding RNA (SMOE_LNC001366)". The record is from RNAcentral. Lineage: Eukaryota; Viridiplantae; Streptophyta; Lycopodiopsida; Selaginellales; Selaginellaceae.